UAGCUUGCUUGGAGUAGCUUGCUU
RNAcentral lists this microRNA (24 nucleotides) under Bombyx mori (domestic silkworm). RNAcentral's name for it is "bmo-miR-3288". The record is from miRBase by way of RNAcentral. Lineage: Eukaryota; Metazoa; Arthropoda; Insecta; Lepidoptera; Bombycidae.